CAAACAGUUGUGUAACAGAAAUCAGCUUGCCACAGAUUAAACUAAAUCCCACACGUAAACACAAAAGGAGAUAAGUUCUCAAACUUAAAUAUUAAGGGGGUGGAAGUCAGUCACAUCAACUGCCUUGUAACAUUUUCAUGCAAACUUUGUUGGGGUCCAUCUACCAAAAAGUUAUUUGAAGAGUUAACAACAUUUUUUCCUGACUUCCCAAAUAAUUGUGUUAGCUCUCAAACCAUUUUUAUCAAAGGCUAGAUUUCUAAAACAAGUUUGCAACUGAAUACGUCCUCUCUUGAUCCUGUGGUUUGUAACAUACAGGCUGUACGUCACUGGCUUUGGAGUCACGGACACGAUUAGAGAUACAAGCACAUACCCGAUGCACACUGGAACACAGCUGUGAUUUUUCCCACUGAGUGUACUGCUGAUGAUGGGAAACUGCAUGGACUGUGGUUAACUUGGACAGGAGAGUUAAAUGCCCAUGACACUCUUUCAGUGCCACGAUUCCAACAUGUCUUUGGAGAAACCAAGCUCCACAUGGCUUCAACUCCUGUUUCCAGUGUACCUGGCUUCAAGAGUGCUCAGAUCUCCGUCGGCAGAGUUGGACAGGAUUCCACUGUGCAGUUGCUCCCAGCUGGUUCCAGCUGUUGCUGCACGUUUCGAUCCUGUUUUUUGGUGAAGACUGUGUUUCCAGUCCUUCCUUUCCCCGCUUACAAUCCUACACAAACAGCACCGUGUGGUUUGCUGGGGAAGCUGAUAGUAUUAGUAAAGGCCAGUGG
This 773-nucleotide long non-coding RNA is filed under the name Bos indicus x Bos taurus (hybrid cattle). RNAcentral's name for it is "lncRNA (ENSBIXG00005028635.1)". The record is from RNAcentral. Lineage: Eukaryota; Metazoa; Chordata; Mammalia; Artiodactyla; Bovidae.